RNAcentral lists this ribosomal RNA (750 nucleotides) under Escherichia coli. Its description in RNAcentral is "bacterial SSU rRNA". It matches the Rfam family "Bacterial small subunit ribosomal RNA", at positions 800 to 1533 of the family's 1533-position model. The record is from RNAcentral. Lineage: Bacteria; Pseudomonadati; Pseudomonadota; Gammaproteobacteria; Enterobacterales; Enterobacteriaceae.
CGGGGGAGGAUGUCGACUGGAGGUUGUGCCCUUGAGGCGUGGCUUCCGGAGCUAACGCGUUAAGUCGACCGCCUGGGGAGUACGGCCGCAAGGUUAAAACUCAAAUGAAUUGACGGGGGCCCGCACAAGCGGUGGAGCAUGUGGUUUAAUUCGAUGCAACGCGAAGAACCUUACCUGGUCUUGACAUCCACGGAAGUUUUCAGAGAUGAGAAUGUGCCUUCGGGAACCGUGAGACAGGUGCUGCAUGGCUGUCGUCAGCUCGUGUUGUGAAAUGUUGGGUUAAGUCCCGCAACGAGCGCAACCCUUAUCCUUUGUUGCCAGCGGUCCGGCCGGGAACUCAAAGGAGACUGCCAGUGAUAAACUGGAGGAAGGUGGGGAUGACGUCAAGUCAUCAUGGCCCUUACGACCAGGGCUACACACGUGCUACAAUGGCGCAUACAAAGAGAAGCGACCUCGCGAGAGCAAGCGGACCUCAUAAAGUGCGUCGUAGUCCGGAUUGGAGUCUGCAACUCGACUCCAUGAAGUCGGAAUCGCUAGUAAUCGUGGAUCAGAAUGCCACGGUGAAUACGUUCCCGGGCCUUGUACACACCGCCCGUCACACCAUGGGAGUGGGUUGCAAAAGAAGUAGGUAGCUUAACCUUCGGGAGGGCGCUUACCACUUUGUGAUUCAUGACUGGGGUGAAGUCGUACGGGGAACCCCCGAAAAAGUUGGAGGUCCCACGGGUUUUAAGAAAUAGAAACUGUUUCCCU